Molecule: ribosomal RNA, 275 nt
Filed under: uncultured bacterium
Lineage: Bacteria
Description: partial 16S ribosomal RNA
Rfam family: Bacterial small subunit ribosomal RNA
Source: RNAcentral
CAAACUGAAGAUGGCGACCGGCGCACGGGUGAGUAACACGUAUCCAACCUGCCGAUGACUCGGGGAUAGCCUUUCGAAAGAAAGAUUAAUACCCGAUGGCAUAAUAGAACCGCAUGGUUUGAUUAUUAAAGAAUUUCGGUUAUCGAUGGGGAUGCGUUCCAUUAGGCAGUUGGUGGGGUAACGGCCCACCAAACCUUCGAUGGAUAGGGGUUCUGAGAGGAAGGUCCCCCACAUUGGAACUGAGACACGGUCCAAACUCCUACGGGAGGAGCAUG